UACGUAGGGUGCGCGCGUUGUCCGGAAUUAUUGGGCGUAAAGGGCUCGUAGGCGGUCUGUCGCGUCGGGCGUGAAAACUCAGGGCUUAACCCUGAGCCUGCUUCCGAUACGGGCAGACUAGAGGUAUGCAGGGGAGAACGGAAUUCCUGGUGUAGCGGUGAAAUGCGCAGAUAUCAGGAGGAACACCGGUGGCGAAGGCGGUUCUCUGGGCAUUCCCUGACGCUGAGGAGCGAAAGUGUGGGGAGCGAACAGG
Molecule: ribosomal RNA, 253 nt
Filed under: uncultured bacterium
Lineage: Bacteria
Description: partial 16S ribosomal RNA
Rfam family: Bacterial small subunit ribosomal RNA
Source: RNAcentral